RNAcentral lists this ribosomal RNA (253 nucleotides) under uncultured bacterium. RNAcentral's name for it is "partial 16S ribosomal RNA". It matches the Rfam family "Bacterial small subunit ribosomal RNA", at positions 524 to 776 of the family's 1533-position model. The record is from RNAcentral.
UACGAAGGGGGCUAGCGUUGCUCGGAAUCACUGGGCGUAAAGGGUGCGUAGGCGGGCAGGUAAGUCCGUGGUGAAAUCUCUGAGCUUAACUCAGAAACUGCCAUGGAUACUAUUUGUCUUGAAUAUUGUGGAGGCAAGCGGAAUAUGUCAUGUAGCGGUGAAAUGCUUAGAUAUGACAUAGAACACCCAUUGCGAAGGCAGCUUGCUACACAAUGAUUGACGCUGAGGCACGAAAGCGUGGGGAUCAAACAGG